RNAcentral lists this ribosomal RNA (256 nucleotides) under uncultured bacterium. RNAcentral describes it as "partial 16S ribosomal RNA". It matches the Rfam family "Bacterial small subunit ribosomal RNA", at positions 521 to 776 of the family's 1533-position model. The record is from RNAcentral.
UAAUACGAAGGGGGCUAGCGUUGUUCGGAAUGACUGGGCGUAAAGCGCGCGUAGGCGGCGAGUUUAGUCAGGGGUGAAAUCCCGGGGCUCAACCCCGGAACUGCCUUUGAUACUGGCUUGCUGGAGCACGGGAGAGGGUGGCGGAAUACCCAGUGUAGAGGUGAAAUUCGUAGAUAUUGGGUAGAACACCGGUGGCGAAGGCGGCCACCUGGACCGUAGCUGACGCUGAGGUGCGAAAGCGUGGGGAGCAAACAGG